Molecule: long non-coding RNA, 3604 nt
Filed under: Heterocephalus glaber (naked mole-rat)
Lineage: Eukaryota; Metazoa; Chordata; Mammalia; Rodentia; Bathyergidae
Description: lncRNA (ENSHGLG00100052333.1)
Source: RNAcentral
GUGUGUUAGUCCCAGGAAACCUUUGGCUCUGCCUCCUGGGGACCCGGUGUUUCACGAUGGCUCCAGAGCUCUCUAGGAAAGCAGGUGACAGGCUGGUGUCUUGGGAAGGAAUCACCCUGCAUCUGCCCAGCUGAUAAUAAGGCUCCACGGAGGGGAGGGCCAAGUAGGUGGCCCGCAGGCAGCCUGGGCACAGGGUGGCAGCCCAGUCAUCAGACCUCUGGCGUUCGGUGUGUGCCAGGAUGAUGUUCACGGAGAGGAGACUGCCGGCAGGUAGGGCAUCCAGGCACAUGGAGUGAAGAAAAUGACAACUCUGAGCACAAUGGGAACGGAUGGCUGUGACUACUGGGCCUGGACGACCCCAGGGGAUAAUGAGUGGGGCUGACAGGAGUAGCCCCCGUCAGGCAGGCAGGGAGCAGCAAAGCCGAAGAUGAAUCACAGGCCUUGAUAAGGAGGUGGCCCUCCAAAGACGGCCAGAUGCUCCCCAGAGCAGCUUGGGCAGGCCAGGGCAGGAGCCCUGUGGGGGACCUGAGUGCCUGGGGAGUGGGGACUGGGGCGUGCGGAGAAGUCCGAAGAGCACACUCCCGAUGCCUCUGAAACUUGCAGCCUGCUGGGGUGCCCGCCCCCAGGGGCACCCACGUGCCCCCACAGGAGAAAAAGUUACUGGAGCCUUCUGCCCUGGGGAUGCCCCUCCCAGGAGCUGCCUCACCUGUCUCUGCCGCAGGGACAGUGACUGCCAUCUCGCUUGGCUGUGGGACUUGUGGAGCUACACACAGGAGAGCAGCAGGCCAUGCAGGAAGAGCUGAGAGCCUGCUGCCAGGCCCCUGAGCAGGCAGGGUGUGCUGGGCCUGGAGGGAGGACAGGGAGGACACCGGAAGAGGAGCAGGAGCGGCAUGCGCGCAGUGGCAGGGCCAGGGUCCCCGGAAGGGGAUCUGAGCACGGCAGCCAGGGGCCUGCAGAUAAGGCACUUGCAGUACCCUGCUAGGAAACAGAACUUGCUGCUCUGGAAGGCCGGGCCAGGGGCACAGACUCGCCUCGGGGAUGGGUGCUAGAAGCCUACAGAGAACAAAGGCCCACACUGAGCAGCCUUGAAAGGCCUGCAGGGCACAGAGGAAGGGAGCCAUGAGGCCGGGGAAGGGUCCCCCUGGAACUGGGUGGAUGAGUGAGGCCAGAAGAGCCCCCUCAGGGGGAAUAUAUUCCCUGAGAGGGCUCAGAAGACACACGGUGCACCGAGGGGGUCAGGGAUGAGCCAGAGAAAGGCUCCUCUGCAGGCCGGGUGGAGGCAGAGGAGGCUGCUCCGUAGCACGGCUCACUGUGAACAGGGUGCUUGGCUGCCUCUAUUCCCCCUCCUCCCCUGCAGCAGCAGCAGCUGGAGUGGAGGCCAGGGCUGCACUGAACAGCACUGAGCAGCCAGAAGCCAGGCGAAAGGAUUGGAUGCCGCUGACAGUGGGGAGUGACAGAGACUCUCGGGACCACACAGCCUCCCUAGGGGCACAGAGGCUGCGCACCCAGGUGGGUACAGCUCCAAGUGGACCCCAGAGAGAGCGCGGCUGGGGAGCAGGAGGCAGCAGGAGGCCGAGUGCUGCCACCCCAACCAUCAGCCACCACGCUUCUGCCCCUAACCAGACUGCAGACCCGAACCCCACUGACCAGAGCAGAGGCUGGGGUAGGCACCAGGGACACUGCAGCACCAUGGCAAGGAGAGACUGCAAUGGUCGCACCGCCCUCCCUAAAGGGCCCCGAGGCCCUGUGUGGGGUUACUGAGCAGCGGGGAAGUGGGAAUAAGCGGACAGGGCUGCUGCAGUGUCCCAGGGUCGCUGGUAUCUGGAGUCUUGGUAAGCUCUGCGUGACAGCCAGCCUCGGGAAGUCCCUGCGCUUACGCUGCUGGACAAAUUGGUCACUGGACGAAGGCCAGAUGGCCCAUUCCCGGGGACCUGUCUGCUAGUCUUGACCUCAGACAGGCUGGCGGGGUCUGUCUGAAUUUGGCUCACACUGGCCAUAAUGAAAAAUUACAAGGCAAAGUUGCAAGCUAGCAUGCGCUCAAUGGGAGAAAACACAGAAAAAGAGGCAGGGAAAAUAUGCCUAAGUUGUAAACAUCCUUGCCUGUGGAAAUGGCCACAAGACAGUUGUUCCUGCUCCUCACUUUUCUGUACUCUCCAAAGCUGCCACAGGAGCUGCAGGUAGACCACUAGGUCAGCUGAGGGCCUCUGCUGAGGACAGCUCACUGAUCCCGCAGCCAAGGCUGUGGCUGACAGUGUGUCCCGCUAUCUGACUCACUUAGACAAACAAGCUAGGCCUCGGUCACCAGGCCAUGGUGUGUCAUCUGAAGGCCUCCCCUAAGCUUUGGAAGGCAAGGCCCAGGGUCCCUGCUUAUCUACAUAAAGACUGAAGCAUCCAAAGAGGAGAGUAGGGAAGAACAGGAAGGCUGACGGAAGAGCCUGAACUGUGGAAAGACGCCAACGGUGGCACAGACCCCCACACUAACGCUGGUGCGAUGGCUCAGUUCCGGAAGUUCACAGGAACUCGGCAGCCUGACUCUCCUUCAGUCUCCGACCCAGGCGCCGCUCCUACCCAGCGCAGUCCAAGCCCUGUGUGCAGCCUUUCUGGCCGCAGCUUUUUCCUAUCCACUCGGAACACCAAAGUCAAACCUGGAAAUGCACGCAGUUCUCAGCGUGAGCACAUGAUCUGGGCCUUGGUCAGGGGCCAUGGCCACACAGCAGCUGUCCAGAGGACAGGAAGGGGGGCGGGGGAGAGCCGGGAAUCAGGCCAGCUGAGGAUCCGCACAAAAUGGGGAGAGCUAGCCGGAGAGAACAAGGCUCCCUGUCUUCACGCAGUGGUCGGCCAGCUGCCCAGGCUUCUCUUGCAUGUGUGGAAUCCAGGCAGAAAAGGAAAGCUAAGGCAUGAGGAAGUGAGCGCGAGAGCCCAAAGAAGGAGCCCCUCUUCCUGGGGGCACGCUUGUCACAAGUGCAGGGCUCACUGUCCCCCGAGCGAGGGGAGGUGAGACACUCUGACCCUCAGGGCACGCCAGCCCAAACAGCCCCUGCAAGACACGGAAAGGAGACCCUUGGAGAUGAAGGGGACACAGUGUCUGAAACUCCAAUAGCCAGUGCGAUUGAAAUUAGUGCCAGACGCGGGUUAAAAGAACAAAAAAAAAAAGGAGCCCAAAAAAGCUCCUCCUCCUCCACAAGAACAAGACCCAGACCCGGAACUUGACAGAAAAACGGGACAAAGGCACUUCCCAGGAGACAAAGCCAGACUGGCCAAGGACUUGAAGGGAAGCCAGGAAUGUGAGUCAAAGCUGUCCCAGACCUCUGGGCUGCAGAUCUCUGGGCAGGAGCAAGGGUGAACCCUCUCCAGAUGAGGGCCUUCGCCUAGGCCUGCGAAGCCAGGAGCAAGGCGAGGAGAGGGGACUGCAUUUCAGAAGCCGCAGAGGGAGGCAAGGGAAGAGGACCCUGAAAGGCCCCCGAGAAGAGGAGGCUCACGGAAAUCACGCUGAGCCUAAAGAAUCGGAGGACAGCGCUUGGGCUAAAGAGAGGAACAGCAGGGCCAGGGAACUGGGGACACAGGGAGGCGCUGCGCGGAGAGCAGGUGCCCGGGACCAGAGAGC